AACGAACGCUGGCGGCGUGGAUAAGACAUGCAAGUCGAACGGGAUUACUUCUGUAGCAAUACAGAAGUAAUUUAGUGGCGAACGGGUGCGUAACACGUGGGGAAUCUGCCGAGAAGUGGGGGAUAGCUCGCCGAAAGGCGGGCUAAUACAGCACACGACCGUUGGUCUUCGGACUGGCGGUGAAAGCAGGCCUCUAUAUAUAAGCUUGCGCUCCAGGUUGGGCCCGCCGCCCCACNCA
RNAcentral lists this ribosomal RNA (238 nucleotides) under uncultured bacterium. RNAcentral describes it as "partial 16S ribosomal RNA". It matches the Rfam family "Bacterial small subunit ribosomal RNA", at positions 29 to 247 of the family's 1533-position model. The record is from RNAcentral.